Molecule: ribosomal RNA, 464 nt
Filed under: uncultured bacterium
Lineage: Bacteria
Description: partial 16S ribosomal RNA
Rfam family: Bacterial small subunit ribosomal RNA
Source: RNAcentral
ACGAACGCUGGCGGCGUGCUUAACACCUGCAAGUCGUACGGUAAGGCCCUUUCGGGGGUACCCGAGUGGCGAACGGGUGAGUAACACGUGAGUAACCUGCCCACAACUUUGGGAUAACGCUAGGAAACUGGUGCUAAUACUGGAUAUGUGCUCCUGCUGCAUGGUGGGGGUUGGAAAGCUCCGGCGGUUGUGGAUGGACUCGCGGCCUAUCAGCUUGUUGGUGGGGUAGUGGCCUACCAAGGCGGCGACGGGUAGCCGGCCUGAGAGGGUGACCGGCCACAUUGGGACUGAGAGACGGCCCAGACUCCUACGGGAGGCAGCAGUGGGGAAUAUUGCACAAUGGGCGCAAGCCUGAUGCAGCAACGCCGCGUGCGGGAUGACGGCCUUCGGGUUGUAAACCGCUUUCAGCAGGGACGAAGCUUUUUGUGACGGUACCUGCAGAAGAAGCACCGGCUAACUACGUG